GGGGAUUUAGCUCAGUGGUAGAGCGCUUGCCUAGCAAGCACAAGGCCCUGGGUUCGGGCCUCAGCUCCG
RNAcentral lists this transfer RNA (69 nucleotides) under Rattus norvegicus (Norway rat). It matches the Rfam family "tRNA". Rfam says of the family: Transfer RNA (tRNA) molecules are approximately 80 nucleotides in length. Their secondary structure includes four short double-helical elements and three loops (D, anti-codon, and T loops). Further hydrogen bonds mediate the characteristic L-shaped molecular structure. tRNAs have two regions of fundamental functional importance: the anti-codon, which is responsible for specific mRNA codon recognition, and the 3' end, to which the tRNAs corresponding amino acid is attached (by aminoacyl-tRNA synthetases). tRNAs cope with the degeneracy of the genetic code in two manners: having more than one tRNA (with a specific anti-codon) for a particular amino acid; and 'wobble' base-pairing, i.e. permitting non-standard base-pairing at the 3rd anti-codon position. Lineage: Eukaryota; Metazoa; Chordata; Mammalia; Rodentia; Muridae. The record is from Rfam by way of RNAcentral.